GACGAACGCUGGCGGCGUGCUUAACACAUGCGAGUCGAACGGAAAGGCCCUGCUUUUGUGGGGUGCUCGAGUGGCGAACGGGUGAGUAACACGUGAGUAACCUGCCCUUGACUUUGGGAUAACUUCAGGAAACUGGGGCUAAUACCGGAUAGGAGCUCCUGCUGCAUGGUGGGGGUUGGAAAGUUUCGGCGGUUGGGGAUGGACUCGCGGCUUAUCAGCUUGUUGGUGGGGUAGUGGCUUACCAAGGCUUUGACGGGUAGCCGGCCUGAGAGGGUGACCGGCCACAUUGGGACUGAGAUACGGCCCAGACUCCUACGGGAGGCAGCAGUGGGGAAUAUUGCACAAUGGGCGGAAGCCUGAUGCAGCAACGCCGCGUGCGAGAUGACGGCCUUCGGGUUGUAAACCGCUUUCGCCUGUGACGAAGCGUGAGUGACGGUAAUGGGUAAAGAAGCACCGGCUAACUACGUG
This 468-nucleotide ribosomal RNA is filed under the name uncultured bacterium. RNAcentral's name for it is "partial 16S ribosomal RNA". It matches the Rfam family "Bacterial small subunit ribosomal RNA", at positions 28 to 507 of the family's 1533-position model. The record is from RNAcentral.